GACGAACGCUGGCGGCAGGCCUAACACAUGCAAGUCGAGCGGAGCGGCGGACGGGUGAGUAAUGUAUGGGGAUCUGCCCGAUAGAGGGGGAUAACUACUGGAAACGGUGGCUAAUACCGCAUACUAUCGGAUGAACCCAUAUGGGAUUAGCUAGUAGGUGGGGUAAAGGCUCACCUAGGCGACGAUCCGUAACUGGUCUGAGAGGAUGAUCAGUCACACUGGAACUGAGACACGGUCCAGACUCGUACGGGAGGCAGCAGUGGGGAAUAUUGGACAAUGGGCGAAAGCCGGAUCCAGCCAUGCCGCGUGGCUGAAGAAGGUCUUCGGAGUGUAAAGCACUUUAAGUUGGGAGGCGUUACGAACAGAAUAAGCACCGGCUAACUUCGUGCCAGCAGCCGCGGUAAUAC
Molecule: ribosomal RNA, 407 nt
Filed under: uncultured bacterium
Lineage: Bacteria
Description: partial 16S ribosomal RNA
Rfam family: Bacterial small subunit ribosomal RNA
Source: RNAcentral